AGGUUGUCCAUAUGGGAUUGCAACCUAGAGAGAAAAACAAGAAAAACAUAAUAAGACAUUAAACAAGAUAUUGUGGAAGAUAUAUAAUUAGCACGAGAUUAGUAGUACUGCCAAAAAAAAGAAAAGCCAGCACCACUGACUUGGAAUAUCAUAGUUUCACAAGUCUGUAGGGCACAAUAACUCUCAAUUCAAAUAAUAUAAAAUGGGAUGCACCAGGUUGAACAGAAGCACAAGUCUUUCUAUACCCUCUCAGCCCUCACUCAAGUCAAAGUCGACUCAUAACCAUUGCUAUUGAGUAGUCAAAACUACACAAUGCCAUUUUUCCCUUUUGGUACUGCGUCCUUGGUCAAAUUUGUCAUAACUAGAAAUGCUGUCAUUGAGUUCUCACUUGGUCUUACUAAGAAGGAUGUGAAGAGCUCACCCCCUGUUUGGCUAAACAAGAGGUGAAUUGGAAACCCAAAAUAGUUACAAUAUUGCACUCAUUGCGAGAGAG
RNAcentral lists this unclassified non-coding RNA (493 nucleotides) under Hevea brasiliensis (rubber tree). The record is from RNAcentral. Lineage: Eukaryota; Viridiplantae; Streptophyta; Magnoliopsida; Malpighiales; Euphorbiaceae.